CCGACGAUGUUCUCGAACAGACUUCCCUCUCGGGGGUGGGGGGAGAGAGGGGUCAAACUCUUUCUCUCUCUCUCUCUCUCGAAGACCGAUCGGCGACGCUAUAGCUUUGGGUACUUUCAGGACCCGUCUUGAAACACGGACCAAGGAGUCUAGCAUGUACGCGAGUCAUUGGGAUUUUUACUAAACCUAAAGGCGCAAUGAAAGUGAAGGUUUUCCUCGCGAAGACCGUGGGAAGACGGACGGGUGUUGGUUAAAGGUACGAGGUACACCGACUCGAUCGCCCGUCCCGCAUUCCCGGGGCGUCUCGUUCGCAUCGCGCGAAGAGGCGCACCGCGAGCGUACACGCUGGGACCCGAAAGAUGGUGAACUAUGCCUGGUCAGGACGAAGUCAGGGGAAACCCUGAUGGAGGUCCGUAGCGAUUCU
RNAcentral lists this ribosomal RNA (424 nucleotides) under Euwallacea fornicatus. RNAcentral describes it as "eukaryotic LSU rRNA". It matches the Rfam family "Eukaryotic large subunit ribosomal RNA", at positions 527 to 887 of the family's 3401-position model. Lineage: Eukaryota; Metazoa; Arthropoda; Insecta; Coleoptera; Curculionidae. The record is from RNAcentral.